UGCUUCAAAUGUGUUUUUUUAUUCUGUCUUAAUUUGGUGGCGUCAAAGUAAUGUGAAGGGCUACGCCACACGGACACUGUUCUGUUCACAUUAAUGUGUGUUAACUGUAAUGUGAAAGUGCCAUAGAACCAUUUUCU
Thalassophryne amazonica is the source of this 137-nucleotide long non-coding RNA. RefSeq lists it as uncharacterized. Lineage: Eukaryota; Metazoa; Chordata; Actinopteri; Batrachoidiformes; Batrachoididae. The record is from RefSeq and is a predicted model, not a curated record. The transcript has 3 exons.